Molecule: ribosomal RNA, 961 nt
Filed under: Sarcophaga hirticrus
Lineage: Eukaryota; Metazoa; Arthropoda; Insecta; Diptera; Sarcophagidae
Description: eukaryotic LSU rRNA
Rfam family: Eukaryotic large subunit ribosomal RNA
Source: RNAcentral
UAAGUCACUUUGUCUUUAUGGCAAAUGUGAGAUGCAGUGUAUGGAAUGUCAAAUUUCUAGUAUGAGAAAUUAACGAUUUAAGUCCUUCUUAAAUGAGGCCAUUUACCCAUAGAGGGUGCCAGGCCCGUAUAACGUUAAUGAUUACUAGAUGGCAUUUCCAAAGAGUCGUGUUGCUUGAUAGUGCAGCACUAAGUGGGUGGUAAACUCCAUCUAAAACUAAAUAUAACCAUGAGACCGAUAGUAAACAAGUACCGUGAGGGAAAGUUGAAAAGAACUCUGAAUAGAGAGUUAAAUAGUACGUGAAACUGCUUAGAGGUUAAGCCCGAUGAACCUGAAUAUCCAUUAUAGAAAAUUCAUCAUUAUGAUUGUAAUAUUAAUAAUAUUAUAAUAAUGGUGUGCAUUUUUUCUAUAACGGACAUUGUAAUCUAUUAACAUAAAUAUAUUUAUCAUAAGAUCAAUGAUGCGUAAGUUUAUUCAAAUUAUUUUGCUUGCAAUUUAACAUAGAAUAAAUGCUCUUGAUUUGAUAAAGUGUUGAUAGAUUUAUUGUAUAUAGUGCUUAAAUAUUUAUAUUUUAUAAUAGCAUAUUAAUCAUUGAUUUUUAUGUUUAUUAUAUGCACUUAUAUGAUUAACAAUGCGAAAGAUUCAGGAUACCUUCGGGACCCGUCUUGAAACACGGACCAAGGAGUCUAACAUAUUUGCAAGUUAUUGGGUAUUAAAACCUAAUAGCGAAAUUAACAUAACUUUAAUGGGAUUAGUUUUUAGGUUAUUUAUAAUCUAUUAAUUCAAUCCCGGGGCGUUCUUUAUAGUUAUGUAUAAUAAUAUUUAUAUUAUUUAUACCUCUAACUAGAGCGUACCUUGAGCAUAUAUGCUGUGACCCGAAAGAUGGUGAACUAUACUUGAUCAGGUUGAAGUCAGGGGAAACCCUGAUGGAAGACCGAAACAGUUCUGACGUGCAAAUCGA